UCCUAGCAUCUCCUAGUGUUUCCAAUAGAGUUGGAGAUGAAAUUUUUGUCUUUUUCCCUCUAAAUAAAAAAUUUAAGCAUUUUGUCAUUUUCAAGGAAAAUUAUUAAGUAUUUCUGGAAUGAAUAGUUAUUUCAUUUUCAAAGUAUGACCAAUAAUGGAUCUAGUUCUCGCUCUUAAAAAAUAAAAUAAAAUAUAAUAAUGAAUCCAAUUUUAGUAUUUUCAUCUCAACUUGAUUUAUUGGUGUUAUUCUAAUAACUUAAAUGACAAAAAUAGAUUUGGUGUUUAGCAUAGUAUAGUAUCAACCAUCAAUUACUAAUUGAAUUUAUUAAUGUCAGAGGGGCCUCUCAAAAAUCAUAAUUUUUAAAAAUUUUAUAAAUUAAAGCAAUGACGAAAAAGUAUGUUUGAUAAAUAUCUCAAAAAGAGUGAUUCCUCUACUCUUUUUGCUUUUUGUUCUUAAGGUUGCAAAUAAAAUACACAACAGAUUGCAGUAUUUUGGGCAUCAUAAGCAAAUUUUGAAUGUGCAAUUCUGGAGUCCUCUUACAAUAGUGUAUCUUUCCUAACUGUCAAUAGAAAAAUCUAUUGAAAUCUAUAGUUUGUUAUCUUGAAAAAAUAAAUAUAUUGUAGAAGCUAAGGUUUCUAACAAGUGGUCUUUUAUGAGUAAUUUAUAAAUUCACGUCAGAUUUUAGUGCACAAUAUAGGCAAAUUGAAAUUUUCUCGCAUAUUAAUAGCUUGAACAACUUGAUGAUUAGAGGUGAUUGGAUAGUUGUUGUAGCUGCAACCUGUUAUUCCACCAGCAUGGCACUAGACUAGAGAAGUUUUUAAUCCAAAAACUAGCAAAAAAUAUUAUCAAGACUACAAUAUAAUAUUAAUUCCUACAAUCCUGAUUUUUCUUUUUCUCUUGUUGAUUUUCCAUUAUAAAGCAUGUUCAAUUGUAAGCUAGACCAUGAGCAUUCAUAAUAAGUUGCUUAUUUCUUCUUUAAUUUAAACCAUUCAUAUUUUGUUUAAUUUGUUUUAUGUAUUUUAUUAAAUUCUAUUAUCAGUAUAUGUGUUAUUGUUUUAUCAAAUUGUGAGAAGAGUAGAGAAUAAUAUCCGUACAAUUUAAAAUUAGUCCAUUAGAGACCAAGCAAUGUUAAGAAUGGCUCUAAUAAGUAACAAGAGGAAAAGAAACAUGGAUACAAAUACGGAUAUGAAUAUGAUAUGAUAUAUGAUGUUGUAACUUUUGCACUUUAAAAUGAAGGGCUUUAAGUUCAAAGGACCCAGGUUGAAUGGCUACAUGCAGUGGCUUUCAUGUUUUCAUGGACCUUAUGGCAGCUUGAGUAAUUGACUUGGGCUUUAUAAAUGGGCCUUCACAUCACAGUUGCACUACCUCUUCAAUAAGCAAUUGAAGAGAUAGUUUGUUUACUGUUCUGACCCAUCUUUGGGGGAUAUAAAAACUGUUAAUUCUGCCAAGUGCCAGUUUGUUUGCUUCUUUAGAGCAGCGACUUCAUGCAUUCAUGCUGAAGGUUCAAACUCUAUCCAUAUUACUCCUACUGUGACCCUGCUUCUCACAUUGCAUAAUUAUAUUCUUUGACAGAAUGGAUGUAGCUUCCAAUUUAGAAUCACUUGGUCUUCAAAAAAAAAUUAGAAUCACUUGGCAGUCCUAUAAUCUUAGGAAAUUCAUAUUUUUGGAUAUAGGUUGAUGAUGUUGAUGGAUACCUCUUCCUUCUUGUUGAUGGUGCACAACGUGUCUUCCAUCUUCUUCUUCUUCCUCUAGAGGCAUGGCAAAUCGGCAAAGUGGACACCAUCGGCGAACACGGAGCCAAUUUUGGAUACACGCAGAAUGAAACUUAUGCUUACAUGGCAUCUCUCUGGCCUCACUACCGACCUCAAACUGUUCCAAACAAAUCGAGCAGUCUUGAGACUCCUCCGCCAUCACUGUCACACUUGGCAUGGACUACCACCGAGUUGUCAUGGUAGUCAGAUGGAGAGAGAGAGCUUUGGUAGUGGUUCUUAUCACUUCUUUUGUGAGAGGCAUUCAGCAAACAUUUUGGUUCAGGCAGAUACGUAGUAGAUAGGCACAACCUAAAUGCAGCACAUGGUCACUUGUGAAAUGUAGAAAAAAAGCAGCAAUCUAUGAGAGAGGUGUGAAAAUCAAGGAGGAUUCUACAACGUGCUUGGAUAUGUGCAAAUAUAUUUAAUUGAUUCUAUUUCUAUAUUCCAGAUGGCAAAACUUUGGUUUUGGUUGGACAAAGCAAAAGCGCCGGAAGUCAACAGUUAUCGGUUCUUCAAAGUGAUACAAUGAUCUUCAGCCAAGAACCCUUGUUCUUUUCAUCCACCAUCAAAUAUAAUAUUGCAUAUGGAAAGGUGGUGCAAGAAUUGAAGAAAUAAGAGAUGCACAAGAACUUGCCUAUGCUGGUCUUUUACUGAUACAUUGCUUGAGCUAAGUGGAAUCCAUGGGUGGUGAAGCACAAGACUUAUUUGUCUUGUGGACAGAAGCAAACUGCUUCCAUGGCAAGAGCAAUUUCUAAACACCAAUGGAUUUUAACUUUUAAAUGUAGCUGAAAGUGUAUUUGAUGCUGGUUUUGAGAAUAUAGCACAAGAGGCAUUGGACAUGAAUGUACGCAAACUAUUGUUCUAAUUGCUUAUCAUUUGAGCAUGAUCAAGAAGGCCAAAAUAAUUGAUGUCUUUCAUAGACAAUAGAUGUUUGAAAAAGUAAUGUUAAAACUAUAGUCAUAACAUACUCUCUUUAAUCACAUCUUGAGCCAUUUUCACGUGUGUCUCAAGCAGUAAUUUUAUUUUCUAUAAACUAUAGUCUUUGUUCACCGCAGGGGCAUAAUUUAUCUUUUGACCUAGUUAUAUGAAUUCUAAAUUUUACAUUUUAACAAAAAGAAACUAUAAUAAUGCAUAUAAUUACUUUUUUUAUAUUAUCUUUAUGAAUUAUUGGCCUAUGUCCUAGAUAGUGAAAGCAUUUAUUUUUUUCUCCCAAACUUUUAUAUGAAGUAACUCAAUUGACUAGAAGUUUAAAAAACAAUAUUAAUACUUUCAGUAUUACUGUUUGCCCUUGUCUGAAAACAUAGACCUAAGUAGCAAAAGACAAAGCUGUUGAUGCUUCCUUAUUAGCAAUGAUAGAUUCAAAGUUAAUGAAUCAUACAAGGGAAAAAUCAUGUAUGCUUUAGAUAUCCAUCUAGGCUAGAUAUUCAGGUGUUCUAAAGCCUUAGCUUUGCCAUUCAUUUUGGCAAAGGUUAAAUUUUAUUUUCAAAUUGUGUUUUACCACCCAUUUACUUCUAUACAGCAUUAGCAACAAAGCAGUACUAGUUUUUUUUUUUUUUUUUUAAUUGAUCAAGUGGUAAUUGGGAAAAAAAAACAGAUUAAUCAAGACAUUAUUGUAAUGUUGUCACUCUUUUCUUUCAAAAUGUCAUAAUUGUUGGAAAAAUUGGAAAUGGGCAAUGCAUAGUGACUGCAAUAUUGCAAAGAUUGUUUGAUCCUAAAUCAGGUCACCUGAUGGAAUUGAAAAUUGAAGGGUUAAAUUGAAGUGGAUGAGUUGAUAGAUUAGUCUUGUCAGUCAAAAAUCAAUUUUGUUCAAUGACUCAUCCAUGCCAACACUGCAUAAAAGAAAGAAGAAAAUGAGAACGAGGUGGAAAGCAAAGCUACAUUAAAGUUACAAAUGCACAAAGGUUUGUGAGUG
Quercus robur (English oak) is the source of this 3664-nucleotide long non-coding RNA. RefSeq lists it as uncharacterized. The record is from RefSeq and is a predicted model, not a curated record. Lineage: Eukaryota; Viridiplantae; Streptophyta; Magnoliopsida; Fagales; Fagaceae. The transcript is spliced from 4 exons.